AUCCUGGCUCAGAUUGAACGCUGGCGGCAGGCUUAACACAUGCAAGUCGAGCGGAAACGAUUCUAGCUUGCUAGAAGGCGUCGAGCGGCGGACGGGUGAGUAAUGCAUGGGAAUCUGCCCGAUAGUGGGGGACAACCUGGGGAAACUCAGGCUAAUACCGCAUACGUCCUACGGGAGAAAGCAGGGGAUCUUCGGACCUUGCGCUAUCGGAUGAGCCCAUGUCGGAUUAGCUUGUUGGUGAGGUAAUGGCUCACCAAGGCGACGAUCCGUAGCUGGUCUGAGAGGAUGAUCAGCCACACUGGGACUGAGACACGGCCCAGACUCCUACGGGAGGCAGCAGUGGGGAAUAUUGGACAAUGGGCGAAAGCCUGAUCCAGCCAUGCCGCGUGUGUGAAGAAGGCCUUCGGGUUGUAAAGCACUUUCAGCGAGGAAGAACGCCUUGGGAUCUAAUACUCCCCGAGGAAAGACAUCACUCGCAGAAGAAGCACCGGCUAA
Molecule: ribosomal RNA, 495 nt
Filed under: marine bacterium Hj-3
Lineage: Bacteria
Description: bacterial SSU rRNA
Rfam family: Bacterial small subunit ribosomal RNA
Source: RNAcentral